RNAcentral lists this ribosomal RNA (348 nucleotides) under uncultured Vibrio sp. RNAcentral describes it as "bacterial SSU rRNA". It matches the Rfam family "Bacterial small subunit ribosomal RNA", at positions 667 to 1014 of the family's 1533-position model. The record is from RNAcentral. Lineage: Bacteria; Pseudomonadati; Pseudomonadota; Gammaproteobacteria; Vibrionales; Vibrionaceae.
AUUCAGGUGUAGCGGUGAAAUGCGUAGAGAUCUGAAGGAAUACCAGUGGCGAAGGCGGCCCCCUGGACAGAUACUGACACUCAGAUGCGAAAGCGUGGGGAGCAAACAGGAUUAGAUACCCUGGUAGUCCACGCCGUAAACGAUGUCUACUUGGAGGUUGUGGCCUUGAGCCGUGGCUUUCGGAGCUAACGCGUUAAGUAGACCGCCUGGGGAGUACGGUCGCAAGAUUAAAACUCAAAUGAAUUGACGGGGGCCCGCACAAGCGGUGGAGCAUGUGGUUUAAUUCGAUGCAACGCGAAGAACCUUACCUACUCUUGACAUCCAGAGAAGCCAGCGGAGACACAGGUG